GCUUGUUUGGUAUGCUGAGCGUUGUGUCUGUUGUCUGCAGCUUGUAGUUACAUUCCAAUGGCCUUGUUUAUUAUAGACCAGACAUACAUUCGAGAGGGGUUCUUGAUUCCGUAUCCUGUGUCUGCACGCUUGUGUGUGAGAUCUUAACACAUGCUCCGUUGUGUGUGUGUGUGUGUUAGAAACGGGAGCGAGGCUGAGGUCACAGCACAAGCUCAGUGGAAACAUUCUCGGAGACUCGAACCAAGCGCUCUGCUUGGUCCUCCAUUUUGAGCACCUAGCAAUAGGUGGGAAGGAACAGAGUGAGUUGAUUUCACAAACGACCACUACUACAGUUCUAGACAAAACUGUCAACGUCCCGACCCUUAGAGAUCGGUGUCAGACAUGGACGACUUGUUCGCCCCGCGGAGGAGAUAUAAGAACAGAAGCAAGGCUUGUGCGGACUCCAUUUUGCAGUACCCUUCUCUCUCUCUCUCUCUCUCUCUCUCUCUAUGCUCGUGUUUACAAUCGAGCCGACAUGGCAGCCCUGAGAUCUUUGUGCACUCUCUCGAGCGCUG
Non-coding RNA from Oncorhynchus mykiss (rainbow trout), 554 nucleotides. The record is from RefSeq and is a predicted model, not a curated record. NCBI's taxonomy places the organism in Eukaryota, Metazoa, Chordata, Actinopteri, Salmoniformes, Salmonidae.